GACAGAGGUGGCAAGCGUUGUUCGGAUUUACUGGGCGUAAAGAGAGCGUAGGCGGCCGUGUAUGUCGGGUGUGAAAUCUCUCGGCUUAACCGAGAAACUGCAUUCGAAACUGCACGGCUAGAGGACAGGAGGGGGAAGUGGAAUUCCCGGUGUAGCGGUGAAAUGCGUAGAUAUCGAGAGGAACACCUGAGGUGAAGACGGGUUGCUGGGCCGACACUGACGCUGACAGCGCGAAAGCCAGGGGAGCAAACGGG
RNAcentral lists this ribosomal RNA (254 nucleotides) under uncultured bacterium. RNAcentral describes it as "partial 16S ribosomal RNA". It matches the Rfam family "Bacterial small subunit ribosomal RNA", at positions 524 to 776 of the family's 1533-position model. The record is from RNAcentral.